UUCAAAUUGCAAAUCGACCUAAACAUAAUACUGUAAUUUAUAAUUUAAAAAAAAAAGCAGCCCAGUCUCAGCGCAGGAUGUACUUUAAAAAUGCACCAGGUUAGAUCCGAGAGGAAGCGUGAGGAUCUAGACCGAAAACAGCAGCUCCACCUCGUCCAGCUGAAGAGUUAGAAUGCAGAUUGCUAAAGGCACCAACACCAUCCUUUAGGAUGACAAUUAGAGGUCCAGGUUGUGGAUGCUACAAUGUCUCGCUCCAGCCAACUCCUGACUGUUCUGCUGCUGUGUGAGUUACUGGCAACAGUUUCUGCUUUUAAGUACAGAACCUGUGAGCCGUACCAGGAUGCUGCAAAAAUGCAUCACUCCGGAUUCUACUGUCCGCGGCUUAACGAGGAGCAGAAUCGUGUCUACUGCUGUCGUCAGAGCCACCAAACCCUGAAAUAUUGCUGCAAUGAGUCUCAGUUUCAGAGCACAAUGAAAAUCAACCAGACUGCACCCACAACGAGCUUUGUCAAUUACGGAUCAAUGAUUGCAGUCUGUGUGUACGGUCUCUGUGUUCUGGCCCUGUUGUUGACAGACCUGCUUCAUUACUACACUCUACACCGACACAGUCUCUGGCGGUACCAGCCUCCCUGCUGCCCACGUGGAUACUGCAAUGGUGACCAUGGAAACCAACCGCAGGCACAACCCUGAGGCCAGUGCCGUCAUCGCUGGGUCAGCGGUCAUCGCUGGGCAAAGGUCAUUGCUGGAACAAUGGUCAUCGUUGGGUCAAAGGUCAUCGCUGGGUUGAUGGUCAUCAGGUGUCUUGGCCUCUCCUGCCAGUUAAAGAUCCUUUCACUACUGGACAUGACUGGAGAGUGGUUGUCUGCUGCUGCUUGCACUGGUGGAAAUGUAGGCAUCCAACUGAUCUUAAGGGAGAAGCAGGGUUAGAAGCUUAAAUAUUAUGAUCAUGGCCCUGUUUGUUCUCUUGGGCCAUUUUGAAAGAUCCUACAGCACCAUAUGAAGAAGAGCAGGAGAGUACUCUCUCUUGGUUAAUGUUCAUCCCUUAAUCAACAUCACUGAAACUGAUUAUUUGCACUUUAUCUCAUUGCUGUUUGUGGGAGCUUGUUGUUGUUUCCCACAUUAUUACAGUGACAGCACUUCAACAGGUACUUCAAUGCUUGUAAAGCACUUUUGGGAUGUCCUGAGGUGGUGAAAGAGGCCAUAAAAAUGGACAUUUUUCUUUCUUUAAAUGUCUCGGACUGCAGGCUGUCCCCCGGCCACUGGAGUGCAGCUAGUUUUAAUAAGAUAAAACAAUCACACAAUGUGCGCUUGUAUCCAGGGUGACUGUGGUACGGCUCAGUUCAGACAACACAAAUUAAAUAGAUUUCUUUCAGAAAGCGACAUUUUGGGUUGUAGUAUAUGAAUAAUUUGAGACAUGAGUCUCAAACAGCAAGUGCAGCGUGUUCAAGAGGAACAGGCGACUUUAGAGUAAAAGCAAAAUACUGCAGAUGCUGGAAGCCUGAAAUAAAAAUGGAAAGUUCUGGAAAAACUCAACAGCUCCGGCAGCCACUGCGGUGGGGGAAACAGAGUUAAAUUUUUGAGUCCAAUAUGACUUCUUCCGAACUGAACCCAGUUUUGGAGAAGAGUCGUACAGGCUCGAGGCAUUAACUCGGCUUCUCUCUCCACAGUGGCUGCCGGAGCUGCUGAGGUUUUCCAGAACUUUCUGUUUUUAUUUUAUGUGGGUGAUUUUGGAGCUAUGGUUUUAAAAGCCUACUGGGGGUUUUCCUGUGCUAUUUCUAAUUGAUAGAGAUUGAUCCCUGUGAUUAAUCAAUAACUCUGUUAUCAUGGUAUCAUGUGGCUGUCAGAUAGGUGGAAGGUGAAUUCAUUGGACCUUGAACUUUCUUGGUUCAGAGGUUCCUGUGUUCCUAUGUUCACCACUUACCCUGCCUCAGACCUUGACUCUCACCGUGCAGCUGCUCCAGAGGGAUUAUAAUUCCGAUCUUCCAGGUUACAUACAUUAGACAGUUCCUUCUAUAAGGAACUUUUAUAGAUCAUAUGAGCUAUAAAAUAACCUAAUUCACACAGCACUGAAACACACUGACUGUUGUUACAUAGCAAAAUGCAUCAACCAUUCAACAGCUACAGAAUCCCACUGACCAGCACUCAGAUAAAUGUGAGUGUAGCUGCUGAGUAUAGGCAGGAACCUGGGCUGCGGGUGCAGUUUGCUCUGGUGAUGCCCAUCAGAAAACCACCCCUUCUGACAUCUUUGCGAUUGGCGAUGAAACCCACAAUUUGAAAUGCACCUUUUUCAAUUUUCAUCUCUCUACCUCUGAAGGUUCUAUCUGAUACUGGUAAUGUUUCACUGGUGCCGACAGCAGUACCUUAUUGGAAUUCCCACUCUUCACACAGUAGUCUCAGUUGUCCUGUUAGCCUUGAUCCUCUCCUCUCUGUUCAAUAGGUGGAUAUCCAGUUACUGAAUCAGACAGCAGAAGACAUCCGGCGAAUUUUUAAAAAUAUAUUAUUCGUUCAUGAGAUGUGGGCGUUGCUGGAUAGGCCAGCAUUUAUUGCUCAUCCCUAAUUGCCCUUUUUCAGAGGGCAUUUAAGAGAAUCACAACUAUUUUAUUGUUAAACCAUAGUUCAGUACAAAUACCAGUUUCCACUCUUCCCCACUAGAUCCUUCACCCCGUCCAGAAGUGAAAACCCCCUUACUGGGGAAAAGCCCAGCUCUUAAGUCCAGGCUUCAAUAAGCAUCACCUACUCUCAGUUCACUCUGAAUCUUGUCCUGGUUUACUCUUAAAGGAGACCUGCAUUUCUAACAUUGUCACUCUCAUCCGCCAUACGCUUCCCAAUGGGAAUCAUUGGAAAGUGAUCUGAUGUACGGCUGACUCUUUCUACCCCUCACCAGGGACACUGAAAUAGCUUUCAGUGCCUCCUCCCACUGAACCACCCCCCCAUCCUGAACUUGUGCCACUGUGCCCACUGAGGUUGGGUAUUCAAGCAGGGGUUGACCGAUUAUCUGGAGUAACCCAGUCACCCACCGAACCAUUUCAGCACACGUGUCUUUAAUUCAAUUAGCAGUUCAUUCUUUGUCUUUUCAGGUCUGGGUGAACAUGGUGAGAGAUUCGGGACAUUCCCCUGGCAUCUUGCAAACUUAAAAAUUGGAUAUAGUGUCAGUCGCGAGUCAGAAAAUGAUGGAUUUAAGUCCACUUGAGCAGAACUGCAUUCCGAAUGCAGUACUGAGGGAGUGCUGCAGUGUCAGAGGUGCUGUCUUUCAAAUGAGACAAUAAACCGAGAUCCCAUUUGCCCUCUCCUGUGGCUUUAAAAGAUCCUAUGGAACUAUUUUCAA
RNA transcript from Carcharodon carcharias (great white shark), 3325 nucleotides. It is a transcript of the gene named protein shisa-like-1a, with no coding region annotated. The transcript has 4 exons. NCBI's taxonomy places the organism in Eukaryota, Metazoa, Chordata, Chondrichthyes, Lamniformes, Lamnidae. The record is from RefSeq and is a predicted model, not a curated record.